CCUACGGGAGGCUGCAGUGAGGAAUAUUUGUCAAUGGGCGCGAGCCUGAACCAGCCAAGCCGCGUGAAGGAUGACUGCCCUACGGGUUGUAAACUUCUUUUAUAAAGGAAUAAAGUGAGGCACGUGUGCCUUUUUGUAUGUACUUUAUGAAUAAGGAUCGGCUAACUCCGUGCCAGCAGCCGCGGUAAUACGGAGGAUCCGAGCGUUAUCCGGAUGUAUUGGGUUUAAAGGGAGCGUAGAUGGGUUGUUAAGUCAGUUGUGAAAGUGUGGGGCUCAACCGUAAAAUUGCAAUUGAUACUGGCAGUCUUGAGUACAGUAGAGGUAGGCGGAAUUCGUGGUGUAGCGGUGAAAUGCUUAGAUAUCACGAAGAACUCCGAUUGCGAAGGCAGCUUACUAAACUGCCACUGACAUUGAUGCUCGAAGGUGUGGGUAUCAAACAGGAUUAGAUACCCUAGUAGUC
RNAcentral lists this ribosomal RNA (460 nucleotides) under uncultured bacterium. Its description in RNAcentral is "partial 16S ribosomal RNA". It matches the Rfam family "Bacterial small subunit ribosomal RNA", at positions 338 to 795 of the family's 1533-position model. The record is from RNAcentral.